UUUACCUGGAAAUAUCAGUAUUUAUAAUGUUAAAAAAGGGGGGGGGUGGCACUUUAAAGACUAACUUUUAUAUUUUUGUAAUAUUAGCUUUUUGCGGACGAGUCACGGUGGAGCGCCGUAGAAGAAGAGGAAAAUGAAACAUGAGAUGGAGUGAGCCGAUAAAGGAAGCCACAACCUUAAUUUCGCAAGGCAAAAGAAAACAGAACAGCCAUGUCGGCAAAAACAUAUUCCAAAAUCUUGACUUGAACAGAUCCCUCAGUUAGCAAGAAGUGUGCAAAAUGAAGAAAAGCAAAGCUGUGCAAGGAUUUCCAGCUUGUUCCAGAUUGAUGUCCUUAGCAAGGGUUAAAGGGACUGAAAUCCUAUUUCAUAGAGAGGGGACUGGGAAGCAGAGGAGGGACCCAUGGUGAUCCUUUCCAUCCCUUUUCUUUCCUCCAUCGUCUUUCCCUCCAAGCCCAAAGAGCCCCCUGCCUUUUCCCAAGGCAGAGCGGUUGCAGGAUCAGGGCUAGGAAACCCACCCGGAUGCAAGCUCCCCACAAAUCAGGGGGAGUUUUCCUACCAGCCCUAAAUGAUUGGGAAGCCCCUUCUCUUUAUCUUUGCUGUCAGUGGCUGAAGCCAUUCAGAUCCACCCAAACUGGGAUCAUAUACUCUGAUCAUCCAAGAACGCCUUGGAGGCGGAGAACUGAGUCAGAGAGGGUGGAUCAGGACCCCCUUCCCGGGUGGUGGGUUCCUCGUGAGCCAGGUAGUGCAGGACAAGAGGGAAGAGUGAAUGGAGGCACCCACCCCUUUACCUGACUUUGCCACAAUGCUGGGAACCUUUCCUGGCUCAUCUUUUCUUUCUGGAAGAGACCGAGUUGGUGCCAAGCAUUGGAAAGAUGCUGGGUGCUUCCUUGCCUCAGACCUCUCUCCGAACCUCAAGGUAUAUGACCCGUUCAGUAUGCUUUGGCCCAAGAUGUGCAUUAGGGAAGUUAAGGAUAUGGUCCAUGAAGGGUUGUAUCCGGAGCCUAUGGCCUGGUCACAUUGUUCCUUUAUCUUCCCUGCAAUAGGGGAACAGGGAGAGAAGCCUUCCAGUCUGGCUGAGGCUAAAAUGUUGACCUCUUCUCUCAGGGAGUCAUGACUUUUGAAGACAUUGCUGUGUAUUUUACGGAGGAGGAGUGGGCGCUGCUGGAUCCAGGCCAAAGGGCUCUCCACAGGGAAGUCAUGGAGGAGAAUUUAAUCAAUCUGGUCACUCUCGGUAAGUGUUUUUCCCCCAUUUAGGUUGAGAAGACCAAUUUAUAAAUGGUACCAAAGAUUUUCUGUUGUGUGCACACCAGUUUUCUGCUCUUCCCGUCUGGUAGUUCUGCGAGUUUCCCCUCCUAAAGGGUGCUGUUAAUGGCAGAACCAGAGGACUUCUGUAAGCGUUGUCUGCCCAGUUACAUUUAGUUAGUUUUUCUUCCAUCAUUUGAGACUCAAAUGUUGCAUUUUGACUGAAUUUCGUUUUUCAUUUCAGCUACUGAUAGGAGAGAGGGGAGGACUGAGG
Molecule: long non-coding RNA, 1516 nt
Filed under: Pogona vitticeps (central bearded dragon)
Lineage: Eukaryota; Metazoa; Chordata; Lepidosauria; Squamata; Agamidae
Description: lncRNA (ENSPVIG00000011944.1)
Source: RNAcentral